Molecule: ribosomal RNA, 440 nt
Filed under: uncultured bacterium
Lineage: Bacteria
Description: partial 16S ribosomal RNA
Rfam family: Bacterial small subunit ribosomal RNA
Source: RNAcentral
CCUACGGGUGGCAGCAGUAGGGAAUAUUGCGCAAUGGGGGAAACUCUGACGCAGCAACGCCGCGUGGAGGAUGAAGGUUUUCGGAUUGUAAACUUCUUUUGUUAGAGAAGAUAAUGACGGUAUCUAAUGAAUAAGCAGCGGCUAACUCCGUGCCAGCAGCCGCCGUAAUACGGAGGGUGCGAGCGUUACUCGGAAUCACUGGGCGGAAAGAGCGCGUAGGCGGGAUAGCAAGUCAGUAGUGAAAUACCAUGGCUCAACCAUAGAACUGCUUUUGAAACUGUUAUUGUGGAGUAUGGGAGAGGUAAGUGGAAUUCUUGGUGUAGGGGUAAAAUCCGUAGAGAUCAGGAGGAAUACUAGUUGCGAAGGCGACCUGCUAGAACAUAACUGACGCUGAUGCGUGAAAGCGUGGGGAGCAAACAGGAUUAGAUACCCCUGUAGUC